This 741-nucleotide ribosomal RNA is filed under the name uncultured Staphylococcus sp. Its description in RNAcentral is "bacterial SSU rRNA". It matches the Rfam family "Bacterial small subunit ribosomal RNA", at positions 60 to 782 of the family's 1533-position model. The record is from RNAcentral. Lineage: Bacteria; Bacillati; Bacillota; Bacilli; Caryophanales; Staphylococcaceae.
AGUCGAGCGAACGGACGAGAAGCUUGCUUCUCUGAUGUUAGCGGCGGACGGGUGAGUAACACGUGGAUAACCUACCUAUAAGACUGGGAUAACUUCGGGAAACCGGAGCUAAUACCGGAUAAUAUUUUGAACCGCAUGGUUCAAAAGUGAAAGACGGUCUUGCUGUCACUUAUAGAUGGAUCCGCGCUGCAUUAGCUAGUUGGUAAGGUAACGGCCUUACCAAGGCAACGAUGCAUAGCCGACCUGAGAGGGUGAUCGGCCACACUGGAACUGAGACACGGUCCAGACUCCUACGGGAGGCAGCAGUAGGGAAUCUUCCGCAAUGGGCGAAAGCCUGACGGAGCAACGCCGCGUGAGUGAUGAAGGUCUUCGGAUCGUAAAACUCUGUUAUUAGGGAAGAACAUAUGUGUAAGUAACUGUGCACAUCUUGACGGUACCUAAUCAGAAAGCCACGGCUAACUACGUGCCAGCAGCCGCGGUAAUACGUAGGUGGCAAGCGUUAUCCGGAAUUAUUGGGCGUAAAGCGCGCGUAGGCGGUUUUUUAAGUCUGAUGUGAAAGCCCACGGCUCAACCGUGGAGGGUCAUUGGAAACUGGAAAACUUGAGUGCAGAAGAGGAAAGUGGAAUUCCAUGUGUAGCGGUGAAAUGCGCAGAGAUAUGGAGGAACACCAGUGGCGAAGGCGACUUUCUGGUCUGUAACUGACGCUGAUGUGCGAAAGCGUGGGGAUCAAACAGGAUUAGA